RNAcentral lists this ribosomal RNA (255 nucleotides) under uncultured bacterium. RNAcentral describes it as "partial 16S ribosomal RNA". It matches the Rfam family "Bacterial small subunit ribosomal RNA", at positions 524 to 776 of the family's 1533-position model. The record is from RNAcentral.
UACGUAGGGGGGCGAGCGUUUGUCCGGAAUCAUUGGGCGUAAAGAGCGUGUAGGCGGCUUGGCAAGUCUGACGUGAAAGCCCGCGGCUCAACCGCGGAUUGUCGUUGGAAACUGCCUCGCUAGAGUCCGGAAGAGGAGAGCGGAAUUCCUGGUGUAGCGGUGGAAUGCGCAGAUAUCAGGAAGAACACCCGUGGCGAAGGCGGCUCUCUGGGACGGUACUGACGCUGAGACGCGAAAGCGUGGGGAGCGAACAGG